UACGUAGGGUGCGAGCGUUAAUCGGAAUUACUGGGCGUAAAGCGUGCGCAGGCGGUUUUGUAAGCCAGAUGUGAAAUCCCCGGGCUUAACCUGGGAAUGGCAUUUGGAACUGCAAGGCUAGAGUAUGGCAGAGGAGACUAGAAUUUCUGGUGUAGCAGUGAAAUGCGUAGAUAUCAGAAGGAAUACCGAUGGCGAAGGCAGGUCUCUGGGUCAAUACUGACGCUCAUGCACGAAAGCGUGGGGAGCAAACAGA
RNAcentral lists this ribosomal RNA (253 nucleotides) under uncultured bacterium. Its description in RNAcentral is "partial 16S ribosomal RNA". It matches the Rfam family "Bacterial small subunit ribosomal RNA", at positions 524 to 776 of the family's 1533-position model. The record is from RNAcentral.